GGGGCUUACAGUUGCUAUAGGCCUCAGGUCUACCAAGCUGUUGUCAGUUCUCUUAGAAGUGCAGCUGAGUGGGGCUGGCACUUGGCACUCAAUUAUUUCAGACUUUGGAAGGUGGGGCUGAUCCUUUUUAUGGCUAUUUGUGAAGCACAGGUCUUCUGCCACUGAUAAGCCUCACCUCCCACAGGACCACACACACUGUCAAUACAGUCCUGGUCUGUGCACACUUCCUAACCCCCUGGAGCGUAGCCUGAUGCCCCACUGCAGAGGCCCCCAUCUCUCCACCAAUGCUCCCCACAGUUCACCUGGUCCUCACACAGGCCCUGCCCCACAGAGGUGGACACGUUCACCUGCCUGUAGAGGAUCAAGGCACCCAGUCAAUGCAGGCCAACAAGUAGCCUGAGGGCUUACUGUUGGGUGGGGCCGGUCCCUAGGGCAGACUGCCUGCCCUGGCUGAACUAGAUUAAAUCUGCACUCUAGUGGGUGUGGCAGACCCCUGGGCUCAUAGGCCAGGGGAAGAACUUCAAUGGUGUCUGCCUGUCUCUGUCAGCACAACUGGACUAGGUGACAACAGUGGUCACCACCAAUGUCUCAGUCUCCAGAGAGGUCUCUCCUCUCACUGAGAUGCACCCAGAGCCUACCAGGAUUCUUGCCCUUGGAACUCAGCCACCAUGUCAUGAGGAAUACCAGGCCACUUGGAGAAGUCAUGUGUAAAUGUUCCAGCUGAUAGCCAACAUCAAUAGCUAAAGUUCUAGCCAACAUCCUGCAUCAACUGCAAGACAUGUGAGUAAAUAAGCAUUCAGAUGAUUCCAGCUCCCAGCCAUUGAGUCACCCUUGGCCUUUAAAUUAUCCAGUUAUAGUGGAGCAGAGAAUAAUUAUGCCCUACGUGCCUUGUUGAAAAUGUGUGAGCAUAACAAAUGUUGUGACAUGCUACAAAAUUUGGAGGUGAUUUUGCUACAUGGCUGUAGAUAACCAGAAAAAUAAAUGUCUAAAAUUGGACUUUAUUGGACUGGCAGUCAAUUAAUUAUUCCAUAGUUCAUAAUGUGUUGUCUAUUUUGGUGAUUUAACAAAUAGAGGCAUAAAGCUAUCAACUCUAACAUUUUCAAACUCACAAUGCAGAUUUUUUCAUUAUUUAAUGAACAAUUAUAAUAUACCUGUAAUAUAGACUAAUCAAGAUGCAUUCAGAACAAUGGGACAGAUGACCAGCUCCAUAUAAGAUUAUCAGGGAG
Molecule: long non-coding RNA, 1226 nt
Filed under: Equus caballus (horse)
Lineage: Eukaryota; Metazoa; Chordata; Mammalia; Perissodactyla; Equidae
Description: lncRNA (ENSECAG00000053730.1)
Source: RNAcentral